This 253-nucleotide ribosomal RNA is filed under the name uncultured bacterium. RNAcentral describes it as "partial 16S ribosomal RNA". It matches the Rfam family "Bacterial small subunit ribosomal RNA", at positions 524 to 776 of the family's 1533-position model. The record is from RNAcentral.
UACGGAGGGUGCAAGCGUUAUCCGGAAUCACUGGGUUUAAAGGGUGCGUAGGCUGCAUGAUAAGUCAGGGGUGAAAGCUGGCAGCUUAACUGUCAAAUUGCCUUUGAUACUGUUGUGCUUGAAUCAGGUUGAGGUAGGCGGAAUGUGACAUGUAGCGGUGAAAUGCAUAGAUAUGUCAUAGAACACCAAUUGCGAAGGCAGCUUGCUGGGCCUGCAUUGACGCUGAGGCGCGAAAGCGUGGGGAUCAAACAGG